AUCUUUAUUUUAUCGUUUAAUAAAAAAAUAUACAUUUUAAAGUGUGGGUUUUAAAUACAAGUGAUCGCAGAACCUUUCGGUUCGCCAAAUCAGUAAUGAUCCUUCCGCAGGUUCACCUACGGAAA
Molecule: unclassified non-coding RNA, 125 nt
Filed under: uncultured fungus
Lineage: Eukaryota; Fungi
Description: sequence contains ITS1
Source: RNAcentral